This is a non-coding RNA of Trichonephila inaurata madagascariensis, 71 nucleotides long. The record is from the annotation of a GenBank genome assembly. Lineage: Eukaryota; Metazoa; Arthropoda; Arachnida; Araneae; Nephilidae.
GGGGGUAUAGCUCAGUGGUAGAGCAUUCGACUACGAAUCGAGAGGUCCCGGUUCAAACUCGGAUGCUUCCU